CCAUGAAGGGGAAAGGGACCUAUAUCUUUUCCUGCCGGAGGCUUCGGCCUUGGCUAUGGCGAUAAACGGUAGAUGGAAUAAGUGUUGUGGACCCGGGGGCAGUGCCCGGCGUCUCCACCAUCAGCCCGCAGGGGCUGACGCUAUGGGGACGAAACAGGCUCGACACGCAUGGUAAAGAUCUACUUUUUGCCCGGUAUUGUUCCGCCGUCAUCGGGCUGACUUUACAAGUGCCAACGAUAACUCUGAGGUGCUCGCUGUUGCUGCAUAAGCGAUAAGCGCGGUCCGGGGGGUGCACCGGGCAACAGAAGCCCCC
Molecule: transfer-messenger RNA, 313 nt
Filed under: Bombella mellum
Lineage: Bacteria; Pseudomonadati; Pseudomonadota; Alphaproteobacteria; Acetobacterales; Acetobacteraceae
Description: Alphaproteobacteria transfer-messenger RNA
Rfam family: Alphaproteobacteria transfer-messenger RNA
About the family: Bacterial tmRNA, also known as 10Sa RNA or SsrA, is named for its dual tRNA and mRNA-like properties. Its role is to liberate the mRNA from a stalled ribosome.
Source: RNAcentral